CACCUUCCAUCCGCUUUAACCUGACCUUUGUGGGGAAGGAGGGGGAUGACAAAGCGAGGCCUGUCAUCAUCCACCGGGCCAUUCUAGGCUCUGUGGAGAGGAUGAUAGCCAUCCUGACUGAGAACUAUGCAGGGAAAUGGCCCCUCUGGCUGUCUCCA
Coregonus clupeaformis (lake whitefish) is the source of this 158-nucleotide long non-coding RNA. RefSeq lists it as uncharacterized. The record is from RefSeq and is a predicted model, not a curated record. The transcript has 3 exons. NCBI's taxonomy places the organism in Eukaryota, Metazoa, Chordata, Actinopteri, Salmoniformes, Salmonidae.